UUGGUUUAGCAAUUUAAAUUUUAACGUUAAAUCUGAACACCUAACAACCUUUUACUUUUUUUUACUAUAACCAGUACCCUUAUAAAGUACUACUAUUGUAAUAAUACUAGUGGAUUUGUUGCUGAAAGGUCAAGCUUCAUCAUAUAUCUGUGCAUAUUAAUCGAACAAAUUACGUUUGUUUUUUCCUUACGGGAUUGUAACUUAAUUAUUUAAGCCUAUCAAAAACGAAAUUAAAGGUUACACCAUGCAAAGAAUAUUGAUCUAUCAGCCUAUUAAUUAACUCAAUACUGGAUACAGUGCACCAAUAACGAAAACAAGCGUUCAUAGUCUUACAAGUUACAUUGCUGCUCAGUAGAUCAGCGAAACCCACUUCAUAUAUUCCAAUCCUCACCACAACAUUGGCAUAAAUAAAUCACUUUACUUACAAAACCAUGAAUAUUCACUGGACUCUUUUAGCAGGGUUUUUGUAUGCUGAAAUGGGAUUUCUGACUCUGUUGCUACUACCUUUCAUUUCACCAAGAGGAUGGAACCGUGUCUUCAAGUCAAACUUUUGCCAAGCGAUGAAAAAACAAGCCAAUGUCUACUUUACAGUGUGUAUUAUUGUACUUAUACUUCUCUUCUUAG
Limulus polyphemus (Atlantic horseshoe crab) is the source of this 624-nucleotide long non-coding RNA. RefSeq lists it as uncharacterized. The record is from RefSeq and is a predicted model, not a curated record. NCBI's taxonomy places the organism in Eukaryota, Metazoa, Arthropoda, Merostomata, Xiphosura, Limulidae. The transcript is spliced from 3 exons.